RNAcentral lists this ribosomal RNA (631 nucleotides) under uncultured bacterium. RNAcentral's name for it is "bacterial SSU rRNA". It matches the Rfam family "Bacterial small subunit ribosomal RNA", at positions 232 to 873 of the family's 1533-position model. The record is from RNAcentral.
CGCGGCCUAUCAGCUUGUUGGUGGGGUAAUGGCCCACCAAGGCGACGACGGGUAGCCGGCCUGAGAGGGCGACCGGCCACACUGGGACUGAGACACGGCCCAGACUCCUACGGGAGGCAGCAGUGGGGAAUAUUGCGCAAUGGGCGGAAGCCUGACGCAGCGACGCCGCGUGAGGGAUGAAGGCCUUCGGGUCGUAAACCUCUUUCAGCAGGGAAGAAGCGCAAGUGACGGUACCUGCAGAAGAAGCACCGGCUAACUACGUGCCAGCAGCCGCGGUAAUACGUAGGGUGCAAGCGUUGUCCGGAAUUAUUGGGCGUAAAGAGCUCGUAGGCGGUCUGUCGCGUCUGCUGUGAAAACUCAGGGCUUAACCCUGAGCUUGCAGUGGGUACGGGCAGACUAGAGUGCGGUAGGGGAGACUGGAAUUCCUGGUGUAGCGGUGAAAUGCGCAGAUAUCAGGAGGAACACCGGUGGCGAAGGCGGGUCUCUGGGCCGUAACUGACGCUGAGGAGCGAAAGCAUGGGGAGCGAACAGGAUUAGAUACCCUGGUAGUCCAUGCCGUAAACGUUGGGCGCUAGGUGUGGGGCUCUUUCCAUGAGUUCCGUGCCGCAGCUAACGCAUUAAGCGCCCCGCC